Molecule: ribosomal RNA, 491 nt
Filed under: uncultured bacterium
Lineage: Bacteria
Description: partial 16S ribosomal RNA
Rfam family: Bacterial small subunit ribosomal RNA
Source: RNAcentral
AGUGAACGCUGGCGGUAGGCCUAACACAUGCAAGUCGAACGGCAGCACAGUAAGAGCUUGCUCUUACGGGUGGCGAGUGGCGGACGGGUGAGGAAUACAUCGGAAUCUACUUUUUCGUGGGGGAUAACGUAGGGAAACUUACGCUAAUACCGCAUACGACCUACGGGUGAAAGCAGGGGAUCUUCGGACCUUGCGCGAUUGAAUGAGCCGAGGUCGGAUUAGCUAGUUGGCGGGGUAAAGGCCCACCAAGGCGACGAUCCGUAGCUGGUCUGAGAGGAUGAUCAGCCACACUGGAACUGAGAAACGGUCCAGACUCCUACGGGAGGCAGCAGAGGGGAAUAUUGGCCAAGGGGCGCAAGCCUGAUCCAGCAAUACCGCGUGGGUGAAGAAGGCCUUCGGGUUGUAAAGCCCUUUUGUUGGGAAAGAAAAGCAGGAGGUUAAUACCCCGCUGUUCUGACGGUACCCAAAGAAUAAGCACCGGCUAACUUCGU